This 253-nucleotide ribosomal RNA is filed under the name uncultured bacterium. Its description in RNAcentral is "partial 16S ribosomal RNA". It matches the Rfam family "Archaeal small subunit ribosomal RNA", at positions 474 to 727 of the family's 1478-position model. The record is from RNAcentral.
UACCAGCACCCCGAGUGGUCGGGACGUUUAUUGGGCCUAAAGCAUCCGUAGCCGGUUCUACAAGUCUUCCGUUAAAUCCACCUGCUUAACAGAUGGGCUGCGGAAGAUACUAUAGAGCUAGGAGGCGGGAGAGGCAAGCGGUACUCGAUGGGUAGGGGUAAAAUCCGUUGAUCCAUUGAAGACCACCAGUGGCGAAGGCGGCUACCUGGACCGGUACUGACGCUGAGGCGCGAAAGCCAGGGGAGCGAAUGGG